Molecule: long non-coding RNA, 145 nt
Organism: Poecilia latipinna (sailfin molly)
Lineage: Eukaryota; Metazoa; Chordata; Actinopteri; Cyprinodontiformes; Poeciliidae
Exons: 3
Source: RefSeq, a predicted model, not a curated record
GUGCCCUCUUGGGAAACCCUAUUUUUGGGUCAGGGGUUAGAGUUAGGACUAAGGUGUGAAUUGAGUUUUGGUUAGGCUUAGGGUUAGGAAUGUGAUGGUUAGGUUUAGGAAAAUGGUAAAGGUAAGGUUUAGGCUGUAGAAAUGA